UGUGUGUUUUCUGUCGCUUGGUGUACUGCGGGUUGUCGGAGCCGCGCAGGUGUAAGUAGGCCAAUAGUCCAUUGGAGUGCUACCUGGUGAAUUAAAGAGAUCACUAAAUACACUUCCCACAUCCUGCCGAUCAAAGUGAGCAGACAUGUCGGUUCCACAAGUGCUACUUGAGACUGUGGACAAUUU
Long non-coding RNA from Anarrhichthys ocellatus (wolf-eel), 186 nucleotides. RefSeq lists it as uncharacterized. NCBI's taxonomy places the organism in Eukaryota, Metazoa, Chordata, Actinopteri, Perciformes, Anarhichadidae. The transcript has 3 exons. The record is from RefSeq and is a predicted model, not a curated record.